Molecule: ribosomal RNA, 519 nt
Filed under: Massarina sp. MFLUCC 11-0577
Lineage: Eukaryota; Fungi; Ascomycota; Dothideomycetes; Pleosporales; Massarinaceae
Description: eukaryotic LSU rRNA
Rfam family: 5.8S ribosomal RNA (bases 158-311)
Source: RNAcentral
GAUCAUUACUGUAGGGACCUCGGUCCUUCCAAGAUGCAACCCUUGCCUUUUUUUUCAGCGUCUCUCCGUUUCCUCGGCAGCUCCGCCUGCCAGCGAGGACCCCUUGAAAACCUCUUGCAAUCCCGUAAAAACUUCUGAAAAUACACAAAAACUUCAAAACUUUCAACAAUGGAUCUCUUGGCUCUGGCAUCGAUGAAGAACGCAGCGAAAUGCGAUAAGUAGUGUGAAUUGCAGAAUUCAGUGAAUCAUCGAAUCUUUGAACGCACAUUGCGCCCUUUGGUAUUCCUUAGGGCAUGCCUGUUCGAGCGUCAUUUCAAAAUUCAAGCUCAGCUUGGUGAUGGGCGUCUGUCCCGCCUCCGUGCGCGGACUCGCCUCAAAAGCAGUUGGCAGCUCCCUUUUCGGCUCUAAACGCAGCAGAUUUGCGUGAUGCGGCGAGAGGAAGGGCUUACCAGUAAGCAGAAACACCCCAGAUUGACCUCGGAUCAGGUAGGGAUACCCGCUGAACUUAAGCAUAUCAUA